GUAAGGACAUGUGGAGCGCUUAGAAGUGAGAAUGCCGGUGUGAGUAGCGAAAGACGGGUGAGAAUCCCGUCCACCGAUUGACUAAGGUUUCCAGAGGAAGGCUCGUCCGCUCUGGGUUAGUCGGGUCCUAAGCUGAGGCCGACAGGCGUAGGCGAUGGAUAACAGGUUGAUAUUCCUGUACCACCUAUAAUCGUUUUAAUCGAUGGGGGGACGCAGUAGGAUAGGCGAAGCGUGCGAUUGGAUUGCACGUCUAAGCAGUAAGGCUGAGUAUUAGGCAAAUCCGGUACUCGUUAAGGCUGAGCUGUGAUGGGGAGAAGACAUUGUGUCUUCGAGUCGUUGAUUUCACACUGCCGAGAAAAGCCUCUAGAUAGAAAAUAGGUGCCCGUACCGCAAACCGACACAGGUAGUCAAGAUGAGAAUUCUAAGGUGAGCGAGCGAACUCUCGUUAAGGAACUCGGCAAAAUGACCCCGUAACUUCGGGAGAAGGGGUGCUCUUUAGGGUUAACGCCCAGAAGAGCCGCAGUGAAUAGGCCCAAGCGACUGUUUAUCAAAAACACAGGUCUCUGCUAAACCGUAAGGUGAUGUAUAGGGGCUGACGCCUGCCCGGUGCUGGAAGGUUAAGAGGAGCAUUUAAAG
This 636-nucleotide ribosomal RNA is filed under the name Staphylococcus aureus. RNAcentral describes it as "bacterial LSU rRNA". It matches the Rfam family "Bacterial large subunit ribosomal RNA", at positions 1263 to 1895 of the family's 2925-position model. Lineage: Bacteria; Bacillati; Bacillota; Bacilli; Caryophanales; Staphylococcaceae. The record is from RNAcentral.